CAGUCGCCGCGGUAAUACGAAGGUGGCUAGCGUUGUUCGGAUUUACUGGGCGUAAAGCGCACGUAGGCGGAUUGGUCAGUUAGGGGUGAAAUCCUGGAGCUCAACUCCAGAACUGCCUUUAAUACUGCCAGUCUCGAGUCCGGAAGAGGUAAGUGGAACUCCUAGUGUAGAGGUGGAAUUCGUAGAUAUUAGGAAGAACACCAGUGGCGAAGGCGGCUUACUGGUCCGGUACUGACGCUGAGGUGCGAAAGCGUGGGGAGCAAACAGGAUUAGAUACCCGAGUAGUCCCUGUCUCUUAUAC
This 301-nucleotide ribosomal RNA is filed under the name uncultured bacterium. RNAcentral's name for it is "partial 16S ribosomal RNA". It matches the Rfam family "Bacterial small subunit ribosomal RNA", at positions 509 to 807 of the family's 1533-position model. The record is from RNAcentral.